This 21-nucleotide microRNA is filed under the name Oryza sativa (Asian cultivated rice). RNAcentral's name for it is "osa-miR1850.1". The record is from miRBase by way of RNAcentral. Lineage: Eukaryota; Viridiplantae; Streptophyta; Magnoliopsida; Poales; Poaceae. RNAcentral also lists the same sequence under 1 other name.
UGGAAAGUUGGGAGAUUGGGG